GGAGAGGGGGAAUGGCCUCUGCGGGGGUGGCCUCCAGAUAGCCAGGCUCUGGCCUCUCAAACGCUACUCAUGCGCAUCCGAGGCCUGCACACUCAGGAACUUCAAAACCCUCGCUUGGACUGGUUAGGGGCCCGGAAGCGGCAGGAUUUAUUGUAAGGAAACGGCAGCCCUCCCCGCGCCUGGAGGCGGAGGCAGAGCAGUGGUAGGAGCUGAGUUUGACGUCACCGAUGGUGGGAGGAGCCCUGCGUGACUGGGCGCGACUUCCGGAAGAAGGGAGCGCCAGAUUGACUGUAGGGAAGGGAGAUGCAGCACGUGAUACCUGACGCAGGCAGGCCGACCGGCGGGGCGGGGCGGGAAGUGCUGGUGGUGCCGGCGAUGGGCGCCCCCUCCCGUCUCACAGAGGCCGUCGAGUCCCGUCAAGUCUGACUACCUUGAAGAUGCAUUGAAAAUUCUGCUACACUGGAGGAGUGAAGUAUCCCAUUCAGUUGGUGAUUUUCCUGUCAUGGAAGUUGCUUGCCAGCUCUAAUUUUGAAUGAACACAGUAAACACAAUGGUGAAAAUAUCAAUUAAAAAAAUCUACUCUCCAUUACUAUAGGCUACAGCACGUGAUAGUAUAGUUGCUCUGAUAUUAAUAUGUGAUUCCCAGUUGAUUCUUCAGGCCUUCCUUAAAUCUUGCCUGGAUUAUGAGUGUUGGGACUUCCCUGGUGACGCAGUGGUUAAGAAUCCUCCUGCCAGUGCAGGGAACACAGGUUCCAGCCCUGGUCCAGGAAAAUCCCACAUGCUGUGGAGCAACUAAGCCCAUGCACCACAACUACUGAGCCUGCGCUCUACAGCCCAUGAGCUACAACUGCUGAGCCCGUGUGCCACAACUACUGAAACCAGCGCACCUAGAGCCUGUGCUCCACAACAAGAGAAGCCACUGCAAUGAGGAGCCCACACACUGCAACGAAGAGUAGCCCCUGCUCACCACACCUAGAGAAAGCCUGUGCGCAGCAAUGAAGACCCAACGCAGCCAUAAAUGAAUAAAUAAAUAAUAAUAAUAAUAAAAAGAAAAAUUUACAGGUUAAGUGGAUAUUCAAUUGUAAUAGGAUUUUAUAAUGCUUUCAAAUGAUUUAACAUGCUGGGAUAAUGAUCUCAGUUCAGAAACUGACUCUAGGAAAUAAUAACAUGGUAACAUGCUAUUCACUUCCUUAUUGAUUAUAGAAAUUACAGUCCAACCAGCAGUCAUUAAUCCUGCAGAAUGUAAGAGCAGUGCAAGUUAAUUUUUUAAGUAAACUUUUUAUUGAAGUAUAACAUGCAUAGAGGAGACUGCAAAAAUCAUAAAUGUUCAACUUGAUGAAUUUUCACAAAAUCAGCAAACCCAUGUAAACAGUACCCAGAUAGGAAUAUAAUAUUACUAGAGGUCUAAGAGGUCUGCCUUGUGCCCCCUCCCCACCAUUACACCCAACUCUGACUUCUGUUGCCACAGGGAAGUUUUACCUGUUUCUUGAAGCUUAUGUAAGUAGAAUCAUGUAGUAUGUACUCUUUUGUGUCUAGCUUCUUUUGUUCUACAUUUUGUGACUUUACCAAUGUUUUUGCAUGUAGUGGUAGUUCUUUCAUUUUUGUUA
Balaenoptera ricei (Rice's whale) is the source of this 1607-nucleotide long non-coding RNA. RefSeq lists it as uncharacterized. Lineage: Eukaryota; Metazoa; Chordata; Mammalia; Artiodactyla; Balaenopteridae. The record is from RefSeq and is a predicted model, not a curated record. The transcript has 5 exons.